GCCCCGGGUGAGCGGUCAGCCUUGGCAGAAGGCUAAGAAAUGCCUUGAGGAUGGGAGGGUGGGCAGCUGCAGCCUGAAUGACCUCUCUCCCUCCACACCUGGAUAAUCUCCACUCCUUCAAGCUCGGGUUCCCAGGUCACACCUCCUCAGUUCGGUCUUUUUCCAUGACUCCAGGAAGAGUUAAGGAGGCCCCCUUAGGAAUGCGCAGCCUUUAAAGUUAGGCACUCAUGCAUUUUCCUUAUCACGUUGGCUCACGUGGUGGUUUUCACUGCUUAAUGCUUUGUGGCUGAAUUAAUCACCCUGCGGGGGUGAAGCCACAGCUCCUGGCUGCUGUGGGCUGCUGUCUGCAGAGAGGCCGCCGGGAAGCUGGAGGAGACCCAGCUGGCAAGCAGAGUCCAGCACUCCAUAUUGCAGAAGGAAAUUCCUAUGCAUGAGAAAAUUCCUUUGUUUAGUAAAUCACACAAAAAUCCAACAGAAAUUGUGAAAAUUCUGGAAGACAACAUGGUCGUUUUGGAAAAGACAAAAAGAUAAACAAGGGUCUAACACAAGCUCCAACAGUGAAGGCCUUUUGCUAGGCGACGGGGCUAACAGAGUCCUCUCCGGAACUUGUGUCAAGUGGUGGCCAGCAUUCGACACAAGAACCACUGUUGAAAGCAGCAUACCCCAGGGGAGCCAAGCUUGUGAUAAAAUCUAGAUCACUAUCGGUUCAAGAUUAAAUUUCCUGAGUAAGGCCGAUGAUGCGCACAUCCUGUGUGGUUGAUUAGAGAAGAUUUGUAUUUGGAUAGCAGGUGACAAGGAUCACAGUCUACGUGAAGGCUGAGCAGCCUAUUAAAGAGAUGAGG
Long non-coding RNA from Bos taurus (domestic cattle), 842 nucleotides. The record is from Ensembl. Lineage: Eukaryota; Metazoa; Chordata; Mammalia; Artiodactyla; Bovidae.